CUACGGGUUGCUGCAGUGGGGAAUAUUGCACAAUGGGCGCAAGCCUGAUGCAGCCAUGCCGCGUGUAUGAAGAAGGCCUUCGGGUUGUAAAGUACUUUCAGCGGGGAGGAAGAGAGUAAAGUUAAUACCUUUGCUCAUUGACGUUACCCGCAGAAGAAGCACCGGCUAACUCCGUGCCAGCAGCCGCGGUAAUACGGAGGGUGCAAGCGUUAAUCGGAAUUACUGGGCGUAAAGCGCACGCAGGCGGUUUGUUAAGUCAGAUGUGAAAUCCCCGGGCUCAACCGGGGAACUGCAUCUGAUACUGGCAAGCUUGAGUCUCGUAGAGGGGGGUAGAAUUCCAGGUGUAGCGGUGAAAUGCGUAGAGAUCUGGAGGAAUACCGGUGGCGAAGGCGGCCCCCUGGACGAAGACUGACGCUCAGGUGCGAAAGCGUGGGGAGCAAACAGGAUUAGAUACCCGAGUAGUC
RNAcentral lists this ribosomal RNA (464 nucleotides) under uncultured bacterium. Its description in RNAcentral is "partial 16S ribosomal RNA". It matches the Rfam family "Bacterial small subunit ribosomal RNA", at positions 339 to 795 of the family's 1533-position model. The record is from RNAcentral.